This 494-nucleotide ribosomal RNA is filed under the name uncultured bacterium. RNAcentral's name for it is "partial 16S ribosomal RNA". It matches the Rfam family "Bacterial small subunit ribosomal RNA", at positions 28 to 507 of the family's 1533-position model. The record is from RNAcentral.
GACGAACGCUGGCGGCGUGCUUAACACAUGCAAGUCGAACGGAAAGGCCUGCUUUCCCUUGUGGAUUGCGGGUACUCGAGUGGCGAACGGGUGAGUAACACGUGAGUGAUCUGCCCCCAACUUGGGUAUAAGCCUGGGAAACUGGGUCUAAUUCCCGAUAGGACUGCAGGGUGGUGCCUGUGGUGGAAAACGAUUUUCUAGUGGUUGGGGAUGAGCUCGCGGCCUAUCAGCUUGUUGGUGGGGUAAUGGCCUACCAAGGCGGCGACGGGUAGCCGGCCUGAGAGGGUGGACGGCCACAUUGGGACUGAGAUACGGCCCAGACGCCUACGGGAGGCAGCAGUGGGGAAUAUGACACAAUGGGCGGAAGCCUGAUGCAGCGACGCCGCGUGGGGGAUGACGGCCUUCGGGUUGUAAACUCCUUUCGACCGCGAGGAAGCCACCUGGUUGGAAGGGUGGUGACGGUAGUGGUAGAAGAAGCACCGGCUAACUACGUG